UUUCAGUGGAAUCCGGAAACCACAUCAGUCCGGGGCGGAACCGAAAAGCCAGACGAGUAGGAAAACA
This is a non-coding RNA of Sphaerotilus natans subsp. natans DSM 6575, 67 nucleotides long. The record is from Rfam. NCBI's taxonomy places the organism in Bacteria, Pseudomonadati, Pseudomonadota, Betaproteobacteria, Burkholderiales, Sphaerotilaceae.